UGCGCGACGGCCGGGGCCGAAGCCGCGGCGGCCUGCGGCGCCGGCAGCGCGGCCGGCUUGCGCAGCACCGGUUCGGCGGCGGCCUGCGCGA
Molecule: transfer RNA, 91 nt
Filed under: Burkholderia gladioli
Lineage: Bacteria; Pseudomonadati; Pseudomonadota; Betaproteobacteria; Burkholderiales; Burkholderiaceae
Description: tRNA-Arg
Source: RNAcentral